This 670-nucleotide ribosomal RNA is filed under the name uncultured bacterium. RNAcentral describes it as "bacterial SSU rRNA". It matches the Rfam family "Bacterial small subunit ribosomal RNA", at positions 94 to 760 of the family's 1533-position model. The record is from RNAcentral.
AGUGGCGAACGGGUGAGUAAUGUAUCGGAACGUAUCCAAUAAUGGGGGAUAACGAGUCGAAAGAUUCGCUAAUACCGCAUACGCCCUACGGGGGAAAGCAGGGGAUCUUCGGACCUUGCGUUAAUGGAGCGGCCGAUAUCUGAUUAGCUAGUUGGUGGGGUAAAAGCUCACCAAGGCGACGAUCAGUAGCUGGUCUGAGAGGACGACCAGCCACACUGGAACUGAGACACGGUCCAGACUCCUACGGGAGGCAGCAGUGGGGAAUUUUGGACAAUGGGCGCAAGCCUGAUCCAGCCAUUCCGCGUGAGUGAAGAAGGCCUUCGGGUUGUAAAGCUCUUUCGCAAGGGAAGAAAACUUACCUUCUAAUAAAGGGUGAGGUUGACGGUACCUUGAUAAGAAGCACCGGCUAACUACGUGCCAGCAGCCGCGGUAAUACGUAGGGUGCGAGCGUUAAUCGGAAUUACUGGGCGUAAAGCGUGCGCAGGCGGUUUUGUAAGUCAGAUGUGAAAUCCCCGAGCUCAACUUGGGAACUGCGUUUGAAACUACAAGACUAGAAUAUGUCAGAGGGGGGUAGAAUUCCACGUGUAGCAGUGAAAUGCGUAGAGAUGUGGAGGAAUACCAAUGGCGAAGGCAGCCCCCUGGGAUAAUAUUGACGCUCAUGCACGAAAGC